Molecule: long non-coding RNA, 5863 nt
Filed under: Homo sapiens (human)
Lineage: Eukaryota; Metazoa; Chordata; Mammalia; Primates; Hominidae
Description: HSALNT0148709
Source: RNAcentral
AGGAAAUCCCUCUGUCAUCUGCCGCUGUUUGGGGCCAAAAGCUUGAACUGUGAUGAAUUUUGUGAAAGGGAGAACUGCCUCAUUCUGCCAAAGCCGUUCAGAAGUGAGUCACUAGCCCAGAACAGGCCCCACAUAGCUGCACCAGCUCAGACUCCAUCUAGCUGCACCUGCAGGAGCUAAGGCUCGAGGUGGACAUCGGGCCUGGGCCCCAGGGCAGAGUCAUGACCAACAGGGGGCAGCCCAGGGAGCUACUCCCCAGCCUUCAGUGGGCCCCACUUCCCUUCCCUCCUCCCCUCCCUGAAGGCCCCUCCCAGACCGCUUGGCCUCCGGCCUUGCCUCCUCCAACCUGAUCUCCUGGGGUUGCUCAAGGGUCUCCUCUAAAAAGCAAAUCCGGUCUUGUCUUUCCCCUGCCUGCCGCAUUCCGUGGCUCCUCACUGCUCUCAGGAGAAAGACCAAAGUCCCUGUGUGCUCCCAAGCCCUCUCCUGAUGAUGCAGAGGCGUGGCCCAUAGGGACUGAGAGCUGCUCACUUCAGGCAGAAGCCAGGCAUCCUGGCAGCCCCUGAGAGCCGCCCAGCUGGCCAGAAGGACCUGCUCCCAGGCCUCCCUUUCCCUGUAAUUCAUAUAUAGAAAGCAUCUAAAUCAGGAGCCAACCCUCCACCAGAGGGAGCGGCGCCCUGGAGGUGGAAGUGGAGCUUUUCUUAGUCAUUACAUUUGGUUUUGUUUUGGGGGAAAAAAACAAAAUGAAACAAUUAAGGUCUUAUUUUCACAAUCACCUGUGGAAUGAGGAGGCUUCCAGAUGGUAUUUGGUGAGAGCACCAGGAACCUUGUGGUCCUGUGAGGGCAUUCAGGGGUAGGGAGUCUAACUCAUCACCCAAUCCUCAUGGCUCCAACUUUAAACACACCCAGAAGCCUAUCUCGUCCCCCAGCCCAGCUCCGUCGCCUGCACCUGGUCCAAGCUGAGGCCCCUCUGCCCCAGCCUCCUGGUUGCCCCACUGUUUCUGCCCUGGGCCUGCUCCAGUCCCUUCUCACGGACAGCCAGAGCCAAGCCUCUGCUCCAGUAAGGGAUCUCUCCAAAGGCUCCUGUCUCCCUCCGGGUAAGGCCAGGGUCCUAAUCACGGCCCACAGAGGCCGACACCACCGCCUCUGACCUCCCUCCCUCUGUCUCCAGCUUUCCUGGGAUCCCGCCUGGGAUCCCCUCUGCCCAGCACUCAGACCUCCUGCACCAGCUGUUCCCCUGCCUGGAACAUUCUCCACUCCCCCCAGGUCCACAGGGUCUGAGCCUCAUGUCCUACAGAUGUCACUCAAAGGGUGGCCCUUCACUGGCUUCCCUGAUGGCACCACUUCCUGCCCACUGGUCCUUCUCCCCCUCCCUCACUCUGCCUCAUCUAGCCCUGGACACUCCACCAAUCUGAUACAUCUUUAUUUCUCUGUUUAUUGUCUAGUUUCCCUCCAUGCCCACCAGGAUGUAAGCUCUGAGAGCAGGGGCUUUGUUUCAUUCGCUGCCAUAAUUCCAGUACCAAGAACAAUGCCUGGCACCUCCUAGUAGGUGCUCAAUAAAUAUUUAUUGAAUGAAUGAAUGAUUGAAUUAUGUCUGUCAUUGACAGAGGGAAGUCUGGGCAACAUAGUGAGACCCCAUCUCUACCAAAACUAAAUAAUUAGCCAGGUGUGGUGGUGCAUGCCUGUAAUCCCAGCUACUCCAGAGGCUGAUACAGGAGGAUUGCUUGGUCCCAGGAGGUAGAGGCCACAGUGAGCCAUGAUCACACUGCUGCACUCCAGCCUAGGCAACAGAGAGAGAUAUAGUCUCAAAAAAAAAAAAAAAAAAAGGAAAAGAAAAAAAGAAAAGAAAAUACAUAGGGGUGGGCAGAUUUCCCCUAAGAUGCUCUAAGGAUGCCCUCUCUAGGUGCAGGAGUCAGUCUAAAGUUACCUCCUGGGGGAAGUCUUCUGUCCAGUUUUUAAAUGGAAGUUCUAGCUGCAGGCAGCAAGUCUCAUCACUGAAUAGAACCGGUUUUCAUUUGGUGCAAACACUAUCUCCUCCAGGAAGCCCUCCCAGGACCCUUCCCAGCCCCUAGUGAAAGUGCCUCCCUCCUGCUAGCCUGCCACUUUCUCCCUUGUGGUCCAUUCUGGAUGUCAGUGCCGGGCCAGUGAGCAUCCUAGCGGGCGCCUGAGUCAUACCCGGAGUGCACCUGGAGAGCCCCUUUCUGCUCACACUUUACAGGGCCCCAUGCUGGCCUCAGACACGCCCAUCUUCUCAUUUAAGCCUUACAACAACCUUCCGAGGUAGUCAUCACCAUCCCCAUCUUACAGAUAAGGAAACUGCGGUCAGAGGCCACAGAGGUGACUUACCCGAGCCCCACACCUGGUGUCACAGUGGAGUGGAGCCUGGCUCCUUGGCCCUGAGUUCAGCCCCCAUCACAGCUGCCGAAUUCACAGUCAGUGCUCAACACGUGUUCACGUGUUUGGAGGACGAACCAAACCCGAGUUCUCGGGGCUCCCCAGCCAGCAUGAAGACCGUGUAACCACAGCACGCAUGGGCGGGCCGCUUGGCAAUGGCCAGGCUCAUGCUCUACUGAGCCCCUGGGGGUCACGACUCCCCUGCUGCUCUGUGCAGAGAAAGAAAAGGCAGUCACCUCUCUCUUCCCUCACUGGAAGGUGAGGCCCAGGGGGUCCGGCCUGUGGGAUGUGAAGAAGCCACACAUUGGUGCCCAUCACCUGGUCCUCAGCCUCUCCUUAGGGCAGAGUCGAGGCCCAGAAGGUUGAAAGAGCUGGAAGCUGGGGAAGAGCCUGCACCAGUGCCUUUGCCUCUUAUCACUCUCCUGACUUUUAAAAUGUAUACCAAAAAAAAGUCAUUUUGAAGCUGUCCAGUUAAGUGAGCUGUAAACUGGAUUUACAAUAUUGCCAAACCUGGUGAGCAGGAAGUACAGGAUCGUUUUGAAUUCAGCAGAUUUUGAAUAAUGCCAGAUCAGGAGUGGAUCUCUGGGGUAAGAUGCAAUGGUCCCACACACUUAUAUGUCACCAGAGUCCACUCUUUGGGGAACAGCAAUUUGACGGAACAUGUCAAGAGCUUGUGAAAAUAAGUAAUUCACAUUCGACCUGUUACCCAGAAAAAAACCGGGGUUCAUUCACCUGGUGAAUCUCAAACGGCUCUCCACGAGAACGCAGGUUUGGAUCAGUAGGAGUUUUAUGACUCGCCACAGGUAAGAAGAGCCCUGGGAGGAUUCUCCAAAGCAGUGUCUCCCUGAGGGAAAGUGACAGGAGGGUUUUAUGCAGUGAUGGAGGGGACGAGGGGCCCCGCUGCUGCAGACGCAGGGCACCAUCAUGCCAGCCCACAGGUUGCCUGUGAUGGUGAUGAAGGUGUAGCUCCUCCUGAGGUGGAGCUCAUGGUCAGCAUGGUCAUGAGGAAUGUGUACUCAGGUUCAUCUAGAACAGGGGUGUCCAAUCUUUUGGCUUCCCUGGGCCACACUAGAAGAAGAAUUGUCUUGAGCCACACAUAAAAUACACUAAUACUAACUGUAUCUAAUGAGCUAAAAAAAUCGCAAAAACAAAUCUCAUCAUGUUCAAAGAAGGUUUAUGAAUUUGUGUUGGGUCACAUUCAAAGCCGUCCUGGGCCGCCGGUUGGACAAGCUUGAUCUAGAAGUUGCCUGGGUCUGUCAGGAGCUGGUGCCAGCAACUAGGUGACCACAUUCAACACAGGGUUUGGGAAAAAACAAGCUGCAAAGCAGGAGGCUGUCAAACAGGCUUAUUGUGCCAGUUGACUAAAUGCCUAUAGUCCCUGGAGACCCUCCCUGUCUGCUUACAAACCUGUUGGAAUUUUAUUUGGAGCCUUAAAGGAAAUGUGACUGUGGGACCUGAGUCACAUAACAGGCAGCCACAACCUCUGUUUCUCUGAUUAUAGAUCAACUUUUUCCAUACCUACAUUCUUUUGUAAAAUGUCGUAAAAGACUAAAGGGCACUGGAGGAAAGACCCCUUUUUCCUCAUUACUGACUCUCCUUGUAGGUUAACUUCCUUCUUUCCUCUCUUGUACCUGACUCCGACCAGAUAGCACAAUAGGCUCUGUGACAAUCAAUUUACUCAAGAUAGAUGUUGACUAUACCUUUCCUGACAAAGAACAAGCUGCAACCAAUCAGAUUGCUGUAAUUCAUAGAUCAGCCUCGUAUGGAAAAGGCUGCUAAACUUUAGUAAUCCUGCUAAACUUCUUUGUUUCUACCUAUGCAAGUAAAACCUUAACUUCUCCAUUUCAGAGCAUUGAUUCCAUUCCUCUGGAGUCUGUGUCUCCCGGACAGUCAUCCUUAAACUUUGCACUUGCAUUAACUCUUUUUUUUUUUUUUUUUUUUGAGAUGGAGUCUUGCUCUGUUGCCCAGGCUGGAAUGUAGUUGUGCAAUCUCAGCUCACUGCAAACUCCACCUCCCAGGUUCAACCAAUUCUCCUGCCUCAGCCUCUUGAAUAGCUGGGAUUACAGGCGUCGUGCCACCAGGCCUGGUUAGUUUUUGUAUUUUUAGUAGAGACAGAGGUUCACCAUGUUGGCUGGGCUCGUCUCGAACUCCUGACCUCAGGUGAUCCACCAUCCCACCCCGCCGCGGCUUCCCAAAGUGUUGGGAUUACAGGCAUGAGCCACUUUGCCCAGCCGCAUGAACUCUUUAGAACAGUAUUCUGAUCCUUUUGAUUAUCAGGUUGAAAAGCCAUAGAAACAAUUUAUAUGCUUUAACCAAUUAUUUCCUCUGGGAUUUAUCCCAGAGAAAUAAUUUUUUUAAAGCAAACCAAAAAUAUAAGUGUUGGGGUACAGAAAAUGAUUCCCCAAAAUGUGGCACUUGGGCAUGCUGAGUGCUUUUGAAAACUGAAAGGCCUCACAAAUAAGCCUCAGCAUCAAGGCCUCUCUAACCUUGUCUCGUUCUCUCCCUCUCACCCCUCAAGUCCUUGGAGGGACUCUCUGGAAUUUCCUUAUCUGACCUAGAAAGUGUCUUGCCAAAAGAAACACAUUUGCCUUCUGUCCGUCUGAUACCCCAUUAUCCACUGCAGAAAAGAAGCCGGAAGAAAAGAAGUCAGAAGUCCAACCACAGCUGGAUGGACUUUUCCACAACAUAAUGUCUGCCUCUCAGACUCAUUCCAUUCACAAGUUGAUUUCUGUCUCCCUGAUCCAUUCAUUCUCCUUAAUAAUCAUUUACUGCUCCUCAAAACAAUGCUCUAUGUUUCCCAUCUCCUCGCUCCCCUGGGAAAAAGAGUACAUAAGCUUCUGUACCCCAUUGGGGGAUUGGGGUAAUCACACUGUAAUUCUCUCCCAUGAAUGUUAAUAAAUGUGUAUCCUUUUUCUCCUACUAAUCUGCCUUUUGUCAGGUGAUUUUCAGUGAACCUUCAGAAGGAAAAGGGGAAGUUUUCCCUUCACCCAUAUGCAGGCAUGUAAAGAUGUUCAUUGCAGUGCUGUUUAUAGCAGAGAAAAUGGCAAACACAAUCAAACAAUAGGGGGAUAGUUAAGAAAAAAAUGCACAGUUGCAGUUAGACUGGUCUCUACCGGCAGGGAGGUUUUUUUUCACCCUUUUUGAUUCUCACAGCAGCCCUAUGAUGUAGACAAAACCGGGUUCACAUUUAUUCUCCCCAUUAUUCAUGGGGGUGGGGGCCAGGAUGCAGACUGAGUUUUGAGAAAUUCUGGGCAGAGCUUCCAACAGGGAAUCAGAUUCUGAACUGGGACAGCUCCCAGGUGUCCUAAAGCGGAAUCCAGAGCUGACUCACAGCAGCGUGUGUCUGACAGGGGGAUCCAGCGGCAAGUCCCUACUCUUGGAUAAAGAUGAAACCACCUUUGCGAAAAUUAUGACAGAGGCCGGGCACGGUGGCUCACACCUGUUAUCCCAGCACUUUGGGAGGCCAAGGCAG